UGCCCAACAGCUAGCCCACCCCAAUAAAACCAACACCACCUUAUUUAUACCCCCUAAUAUACUCCAACCUAAAAACAAAUCAUUUUUCCCCCCAAGUACGGGCGACCGAAAAGGAACUAAGAGCAAUAGAGAAAGUACCGCAAGGGAAAGCUGAAAGAGAAAUGAAACAACCCAGUAAAGCCCUAAAAAGCAGAGACACACCCUCGUACCUUUUGCAUCAUGAUUUAGCCAGUACCCCUCAAGCAAAAAGAAUUUUAGUUUGAUACCCCGAAACUAGGUGAGCUACUCCAAGACAGCCUAAUUAAUAGGGCACCCCCGUCUCUGUGGCAAAAGAGUGGGAAGAGCUUUGAGUAGAGGUGACAGACCUACCGAACCUAGUUAUAGCUGGUUGCCUGUAAAUUGGAUAUAAGUUCAGCCUCACAAGUUCUUCCCUCAACCUGUCUGUUUUCAGCCUGUCCCUGAGACCAAGAGAAAUUUUGAGAGUUAGUCAAAGGGGGCACAGCCCCUUUGAAUUAAGACACAACUUUCCCAGGAGGAUAAAGAUCAUAAUCACUACAAGGCAAUGCGCUACGGUGGGCCUAAGAGCAGCCAUCCCCCUAGAAAGCGUUAAAGCUCUCGCGCAAUUAAACUCCCUUUAAUUCUGAUAACAAAUCUUAAACCCCUAAACCUACCAGGCCAUCCCAUGCUCCCAUGGGAGUGAUUAUGCUAAUAUGAGUAAUAAGAGAGUAUCCGCCUCUCUCCCCGCACAUGUGUAAGUCGGAAAGGACAUCCCACCGAACCUUAACGGCCCCAAUUGAAGAGGGUAUUGAGACAUUAAACCAAACAACAAGAAAAACACCCACCACCUCACCGUUAACCCCACACUGGUGUGCUCACAAGGAAAGACUAAGAGAAAAAGAAGGAACUCGGCAAAAAUGCACUUCGAGCCUCGCCUGUUUACCAAAAACAUCGCCUCUUGAAACACAACUAUAAGAGGUCCCGCCUGCCCGGUGACCACGUGUUUAACGGCCGCGGUACUUUGACCGUGCGAAGGUAGCGCAAUCACUUGUCUUUUAAAUGGAGACCUGUAUGAAUGGCAUGACGAGGGCUCAACUGUCUCCUUUUUCUAGUCAAUGAAAUUGAUCUUCCCGUGCAGAAGCGGGAAUAACCCCAUAAGACGAGAAGACCCUGUGGAGCUUUAGACACUAAGCCAGACCAUGUUAAUCACCCCUAACCCAAAGGUUAAACAUAAUGAACUACCUGUGCUCAUGUCUUUGGUUGGGGCGACCUCGGAGAAACACAAAACCUCCAAGUGGAAUAGGAGUAUUACUCUCCCAAAAACAAGAGCCACAGCUCAAACUAACAGAACUUCUGACCAAUUAAACAGAUCCGGCUUACAAUGCCGAUCAACGGACAGAGUUACCCCAGGGAUAACAGCGCAAUCCCCUUCUAGAGCCCAUAUCGACAAGGGGGUUUACGACCUCGAUGUUGGAUCAGGACAUCCUAUUGGUGCAGCCGCUAUUAAGGGUUCGUUUGUUCAACGAUUAAUAGUCCUACGUGAUCUGAGUUCAGACCGGAGUAAUCCAGGUCAGUUUCUAUCUAUGACAUGAUCUUCUUUAGUACGAAAGGACCGAGAAGAAGAGGCCAAUACUUCAGGUACGCCUCACCCCCACCUAAUGAAACCAACUAAAAUAGGUAAUAGGGCAUACCCCCCCCCCGCUUAAGAAAAUAGCAAGCAAUGAAAUUCACCCCAGUAAAUUCAAGAGACCGUGUUCUCUAGUAUAGAGGUGUAAACCCUCUCAUUGCCAACCUUACCACCCCUAACAGUCUUUAACCUAUGC
Molecule: ribosomal RNA, 1820 nt
Filed under: Chromis acares (midget chromis)
Lineage: Eukaryota; Metazoa; Chordata; Actinopteri; Pomacentridae
Description: 16S ribosomal RNA
Rfam family: Bacterial large subunit ribosomal RNA (bases 81-1713)
Source: RNAcentral